Molecule: long non-coding RNA, 1588 nt
Filed under: Sorghum bicolor (sorghum)
Lineage: Eukaryota; Viridiplantae; Streptophyta; Magnoliopsida; Poales; Poaceae
Description: long non-coding RNA (SBIC_LNC014224)
Source: RNAcentral
GUCCUAUAAAAAGAUUUAUGAUCCUACUAAAAAGAGUAACAUUUAUUGAGGAGGCUCAACAUGAUAAAGGCUAGAUAUUUAUGCUAACACUUAACUAGUUCCACAAAGCUUUGUUGUCUAUUUGAGCUCCACAGAAUUCAAGGAUCAAAGAAGACUAGCAGACGGAGGACAUCCUAAUCGCUGUCAGAGUGAUUCCGACAUUCAAAUACACCUCCAUCACCUGCUAGCUAUAUCAAAAGAAAUUACGUUAAAAUCCAGCUUGGGGGAGAGCACCCCCAUUUAUCUAGCUAAGUGUUCUACUCACGUUUAUAUUUUACUUAAAUAAUAAAAAGAUGCAUAAUCAUAAAAACCCAAAUAAAGAUUUUGUGCUUAUAUAUAUAUAUCUUUGCUUAGUUUACUUAAUAAAUAAAUAAAUAAAGUUUGCUACGAACCCUCAUGAUAAGCUCUCACAUGGAAAUGAUGAAUAGUUGCUCUGCUAUGAUUAGUUCUAAAAAUUGAAAUCUCUCUCAAGUUUAGGCAUGACUGUUAUUAAUUAAGAUUUGCUCUAAACCUGAACUUGUGGGGAGAGUACUUGAUCUAAAGUCUAAGUUGUUAAUGGAUAUGAUAUGGGAAGGUUGAGCUGCUGUUUAUCUGUUCCUAGAGAUGCUAGAAUUCUGGAGAAUUUUAUCUUUGAAGAUCUUUAAAAUGUUGCAUGAUGAGUUCCUGUAUGAUGAGAGUUUAAAUUCCUACCAUAGCCAUAUAUACAUGCUUGCUAGACUAUGAACCACACAUUUACUUUACUACUUAUGAGCAUUUAGUGUGGUCAAGCUGUGUAGACCCUUAGGAGCUUGUCAUGCGGUUAAAUCAAGAUUCACUUGCACGUUCACUUACACAUGCUGCUUCUACUCCGGAAGUACGCAUCCACAUAUAUCCAACCAUUUCCAUCUCCAGAACCACCCAAAAAUAUUCUACUCCUAAUCCGGGAGAGAAUAGCCAAAAAUAUUCAUGUUUUUCCCCUGUGAAAUAAAUGCUCAAGUUAUCUUGUUACUACCGCUUGCUAUAUUAUCUCAUGAGAUGAGUGCUCUAAAAAAAUAAAAAAAAAGAAAAAAGUAUACGAGGAAAUAAAAAGGGGCAAGUGUCCGGAACCUCGAAAGAAAAGAAAAAGUGAGACGAGAGGUAAAAAUGGACAAGUGUCCGAUAGUAGAAUUAGGGGUACAAGAUACCCACCUGAGAGGAAAGAAAAAGAAAAUACAGAGCAUCUUAUUCUCCCCAAAAGUUUCAAAAGAGCAAGGAAGGUAUGUAUCCCCUCAAAAGAGCAAAAGUAGAAUUAGAUUUUCACCAUUGUUAACACCAUCAUUACCAUGCACCAUUCAUUCGCCACACAUGCACAUCUUGAUUUGACUUAUUGACUUGUUUCUCUGGAUCCAUGGUUUGACUAUGCAAUAAAUGUCUUGUAAGUAUGUAUUAGUUGUCUCCCACCUAUGAGCUCCAGAUAUCAAAAGCCUUAUUAGAGUAGGGUGAGAGAAAAGGCAAUGUCACUAUGCCUCAUACCAAAAAUACCACAUACUUUGAGAGAAGGCAUAUACCAUCACUGCCUUGUUAAGGAUCC